GGGGAGGCAUGUGUAAGUUUCAUUUGCUUCCUAGUUAAAUGCAGCUUGGAGCCGCCGGCCGGUCUGCGGCAGGAGACAGAGUGAGACAGUCAGACUGCUGAGCAGAGGACAAAGAGGAACCAGGAAGGCAGAGGUUGCCAAUCAGCUAUUCUGAGGCUACUAGAAGAGCGGGUGGCAAGGAGCCAGGCCAAGGAGCUGCGAGCGUGCUGACUCACGAACCCGCUCCCCCUCCAGAUCUGGCCGGCCUGGGAGCCAGGACAGUGCCGCCAGCCGGACCCCGGAGCCGCCGGCCUCUGAACCGCACGGUGUGGGACGGAGACGGGACCUUGGGACUGGCCCAGUCCCGGUCGCUGCUUCCUGAAGCAGGGGGUGGUGCCACGCUCCCCACAUGGCAGCUGGGUGACCCCCAUAAGGCCGGUCAAACUGGACGCCUCGGGCCCACGU
Molecule: long non-coding RNA, 444 nt
Organism: Chelonia mydas (Green sea turtle)
Lineage: Eukaryota; Metazoa; Chordata; Testudines; Cheloniidae
Exons: 4
Source: RefSeq, a predicted model, not a curated record